Molecule: ribosomal RNA, 2905 nt
Filed under: Escherichia albertii
Lineage: Bacteria; Pseudomonadati; Pseudomonadota; Gammaproteobacteria; Enterobacterales; Enterobacteriaceae
Description: 23S ribosomal RNA
Rfam family: Bacterial large subunit ribosomal RNA
Source: RNAcentral
GGUUAAGCGACUAAGCGUACACGGUGGAUGCCCUGGCAGUCAGAGGCGAUGAAGGACGUGCUAAUCUGCGAAAAGCGUCGGUAAGGUGAUAUGAACCGUUAUAACCGGCGAUGUCCGAAUGGGGAAACCCAGUGUGUUUCGACACACUAUCAUUAACUGAAUCCAUAGGUUAAUGAGGCGAACCGGGGGAACUGAAACAUCUAAGUACCCCGAGGAAAAGAAAUCAACCGAGAUUCCCCCAGUAGCGGCGAGCGAACGGGGAGGAGCCCAGAGCCUGAAUCAGUGUGUGUGUUAGUGGAAGCGUCUGGAAAGGCGCGCGAUACAGGGUGACAGCCCCGUACACAAAAAUGCACAUGCUGUGAGCUCGAAGAGUAGGGCGGGACACGUGGUAUCCUGUCUGAAUAUGGGGGGACCAUCCUCCAAGGCUAAAUACUCCUGACUGACCGAUAGUGAACCAGUACCGUGAGGGAAAGGCGAAAAGAACCCCGGCGAGGGGAGUGAAAAAGAACCUGAAACCGUGUACGUACAAGCAGUGGGAGCCCUGAUUUAUCAGGGUGACUGCGUACCUUUUGUAUAAUGGGUCAGCGACUUAUAUUCUGUAGCAAGGUUAACCGAAUAGGGGAGCCGGAGGGAAACCGAGUCUUAACUGGGCGUUAAGUUGCAGGGUAUAGACCCGAAACCCGGUGAUCUAGCCAUGAGCAGGUUGAAGGUUGGGUAACACUAACUGGAGGACCGAACCGACUAAUGUUGAAAAAUUAGCGGAUGACUUGUGGCUGGGGGUGAAAGGCCAAUCAAACCGGGAGAUAGCUGGUUCUCCCCGAAAGCUAUUUAGGUAGCGCCUCGUGAAUUCAUCUCCGGGGGUAGAGCACUGUUUCGGCAAGGGGGUCAUCCCGACUUACCAACCCGAUGCAAACUGCGAAUACCGGAGAAUGUUAUCACGGGAGACACACGGCGGGUGCUAACGUCCGUCGUGAAGAGGGAAACAACCCAGACCGCCAGCUAAGGUCCCAAAGUCAUGGUUAAGUGGGAAACGAUGUGGGAAGGCCCAGACAGCCAGGAUGUUGGCUUAGAAGCAGCCAUCAUUUAAAGAAAGCGUAAUAGCUCACUGGUCGAGUCGGCCUGCGCGGAAGAUGUAACGGGGCUAAACCAUGCACCGAAGCUGCGGCAGCGACGCUGAUGCGUUGUUGGGUAGGGGAGCGUUCUGUAAGCCUGUGAAGGUGGCCUGUGAGGGUUGCUGGAGGUAUCAGAAGUGCGAAUGCUGACAUAAGUAACGAUAAAGCGGGUGAAAAGCCCGCUCGCCGGAAGACCAAGGGUUCCUGUCCAACGUUAAUCGGGGCAGGGUGAGUCGACCCCUAAGGCGAGGCCGAAAGGCGUAGUCGAUGGGAAACAGGUUAAUAUUCCUGUACUUGGUGUUACUGCGAAGGGGGGACGGAGAAGGCUAUGUUGGCCGGGCGACGGUUGUCCCGGUUUAAGCGUGUAGGCUGGUUUUCCAGGCAAAUCCGGAGAAUCAAGGCUGAGGCGUGAUGACGAGGCACUACGGUGCUGAAGCAACAAAUGCCCUGCUUCCAGGAAAAGCCUCUAAGCAUCAGGUAACAUCAAAUCGUACCCCAAACCGACACAGGUGGUCAGGUAGAGAAUACCAAGGCGCUUGAGAGAACUCGGGUGAAGGAACUAGGCAAAAUGGUGCCGUAACUUCGGGAGAAGGCACGCUGAUGGUAGGUGAAGCGACUUGCUCGUGGAGCUGAAAUCAGUCGAAGAUACCAGCUGGCUGCAACUGUUUAUUAAAAACACAGCACUGUGCAAACACGAAAGUGGACGUAUACGGUGUGACGCCUGCCCGGUGCCGGAAGGUUAAUUGAUGGGGUCAGCGCAAGCGAAGCUCUUGAUCGAAGCCCCGGUAAACGGCGGCCGUAACUAUAACGGUCCUAAGGUAGCGAAAUUCCUUGUCGGGUAAGUUCCGACCUGCACGAAUGGCGUAAUGAUGGCCAGGCUGUCUCCACCCGAGACUCAGUGAAAUUGAACUCGCUGUGAAGAUGCAGUGUACCCGCGGCAAGACGGAAAGACCCCGUGAACCUUUACUAUAGCUUGACACUGAACACUGGUCCUUGAUGUGUAGGAUAGGUGGGAGGCUUUGAAGUGUGGACGCCAGUCUGCAUGGAGCCGUCCUUGAAAUACCACCCUUUAAUGGCUGGUGUUCUAACGUAGGCCCCUUAUCGGGGUUGCGGACAGUGUCUGGUGGGUAGUUUGACUGGGGCGGUCUCCUCCUAAAGAGUAACGGAGGAGCACGAAGGUUGGCUAAUCCUGGUCGGACAUCAGGAGGUUAGUGCAAUGGCAUAAGCCAGCUUGACUGCGAGCGUGACGGCGCGAGCAGGUGCGAAAGCAGGUCAUAGUGAUCCGGUGGUUCUGAAUGGAAGGGCCAUCGCUCAACGGAUAAAAGGUACUCCGGGGAUAACAGGCUGAUACCGCCCAAGAGUUCAUAUCGACGGCGGUGUUUGGCACCUCGAUGUCGGCUCAUCACAUCCUGGGGCUGAAGUAGGUCCCAAGGGUAUGGCUGUUCGCCAUUUAAAGUGGUACGCGAGCUGGGUUUAGAACGUCGUGAGACAGUUCGGUCCCUAUCUGCCGUGGGCGCUGGAGAACUGAGGGGGGCUGCUCCUAGUACGAGAGGACCGGAGUGGACGCAUCACUGGUGUUCGGGUUGUCAUGCCAAUGGCACUGCCCGGUAGCUAAAUGCGGAAGAGAUAAGUGCUGAAAGCAUCUAAGCACGAAACUUGCCCCGAGAUGAGUUCUCCCUGAGACUUAGAGUCUCCUGAAGGAACGUUGAAGACGACGACGUUGAUAGGCCGGGUGUGUAAGCGCAGCGAUGCGUUGAGCUAACCGGUACUAAUGAACCGUGAGGCUUAACCUU